GACGAACGCUGGCGGCGUGCUUAACACAUGCAAGUCGAACGGAAAGGCCCUGCUUUUGUGGGGUGCUCGAGUGGCGAACGGGUGAGUAACACGUGAGUAACCUGCCCUUGACUUUGGGAUAACUUCAGGAAACUGGGGCUAAUACCGGAUAGGAGCUCCUGCUGCAUGGUGGGGGUUGGAAAGUUUCGGCGGUUGGGGAUGGACUCGCGGCUUAUCAGCUUGUUGGUGGGGUAGUGGCUUACCAAGGCUUUGACGGGUAGCCGGCCUGAGAGGGUGACCGGCCACAUUGGGACUGAGAUACGGCCCAGACUCCUACGGUAGGCAGCAGUGGGGAAUAUUGCACAAUGGGCGGAAGCAUGAUGCAGCAACGCAGCGUGCGGGAUGACGGCCUUCGGGUUGUAAACCGCUUUCGCCUGUGACGAAGCGUGAGUGACGGUAAUGGGUAAAGAAGCACCGGCUAACUACGUG
Molecule: ribosomal RNA, 468 nt
Filed under: uncultured bacterium
Lineage: Bacteria
Description: partial 16S ribosomal RNA
Rfam family: Bacterial small subunit ribosomal RNA
Source: RNAcentral